GACGAGUUCUCGUUGAUGAUCGGUGCUUGCACCGAGAUUCAACAUGGAACGAGUGGCGGACGGGUGAGUAACACGUGGGUAACCUGCCCUUAAGUGGGGGAUAACAUUUGGAAACAGAUGCUAAUACCGCAUAGAUCCAAGAACCGCAUGGUUCUUGGCUGAAAGAUGGCGUAAGCUAUCGCUUUUGGAUGGACCCGCGGCGUAUUAGCUAGUUGGUGAGGUAAUGGCUCACCAAGGCGAUGAUACGUAGCCGAACUGAGAGGUUGAUCGGCCACAUUGGGACUGAGACACGGCCCAAACUCCUACGGGAGGCAGCAGUAGGGAAUCUUCCACAAUGGACGCAAGUCUGAUGGAGCAACGCCGCGUGAGUGAAGAAGGCUUUCGGGUCGUAAAACUCUGUUGUUGGAGAAGAAUGGUCGGCAGAGUAACUGUUGUCGGCGUGACGGUAUCCAACCAGAAAGCCACGGCUAACUACGUGCCAGCAGCCGCGGUAAUACGUAGGUGGCAAGCGUUAUCCGGAUUUAUUGGGCGUAAAGCGAGCGCAGGCGGUUUUUUAAGUCUGAUGUGAAAGCCCUCGGCUUAACCGAGGAAGCGCAUCGGAAACUGGGAAACUUGAGUGCAGAAGAGGACAGUGGAACUCCAUGUGUAGCGGUGAAAUGCGUAGAUAUAUGGAAGAACACCAGUGGCGAAGGCGGCUGUCUGGUCUGUAACUGACGCUGAGGCUCGAAAGCAUGGGUAGCGAACAGGAUUAGAUACCCUGGUAGUCCAUGCCGUAAACGAUGAAUGCUAGGUGUUGGAGGGUUUCCGCCCUUCAGUGCCGCAGCUAACGCAUUAAGCAUUCCGCCUGGGGAGUACGACCGCAAGGUUGAAACUCAAAGGAAUUGACGGGGG
RNAcentral lists this ribosomal RNA (891 nucleotides) under uncultured bacterium. RNAcentral describes it as "bacterial SSU rRNA". It matches the Rfam family "Bacterial small subunit ribosomal RNA", at positions 65 to 919 of the family's 1533-position model. The record is from RNAcentral.